UUGUGACCCAUGCAAGCACGGCCCCAAAAGGGAAGGCUGGGCUCAGGCGGUGUGUCAGUGCAACCUGACAACGGCAGGAGAAGAAUCAGAGGAGGAAUAUCCAGAGGAGACUGCGGUGUUCCUCAACCUGACCAACGGGUGGAGAAGGCAGACAGGAGCAGGACUCACGCAGGGCUGAGCAGGGAGUAGUGGCCUCGUGGCUCUGGGCCUGUUCUGCCAACUCCUCACACACUCUGCUUUCUCCAGCAGAGAGAGAGGACAAACACCUGGAGCAGACCGUAGCAUUCCUGGACAGCGACUCACAGCUGACAGUUGCCAUGACUAACAGGAAGCAGGAAGGCCCUGGUGCCAGGGAGCCAGCAUGCAUGCUGUGUCGCCGUGUGGAGGCUGACCCGGACACCUGCGGUGACAAAGUGGAGAAGGGAGGGCUCUGUGCCCACGUCUUUUGCCUG
Molecule: long non-coding RNA, 452 nt
Organism: Passer domesticus (house sparrow)
Lineage: Eukaryota; Metazoa; Chordata; Aves; Passeriformes; Passeridae
Exons: 3
Source: RefSeq, a predicted model, not a curated record